This is a non-coding RNA of Anaerolineae bacterium SM23_84, 145 nucleotides long. Lineage: Bacteria; Bacillati; Chloroflexota; Anaerolineae. The record is from Rfam.
UUCUAGCCCGGUAUAUUGCCGGAGACAGCAGGUGCGCGUACGCGCUUAAUGCGAAUGCCUGCCGAGGCGGAGUAUCGCGGUGUUUUCGUUUCACUGUGAGUCUUUGCGCCUGGCAGGUCGGCGCAAAGGCUCUUUUGCUUUUCUC